AUUGAACGCUGGCGGAAUGCUUUACACAUGCAAGUCGAACGGCAGCACGGGUGCUUGCACCUGGUGGCGAGUGGCGAACGGGUGAGUAAUGCACCGGAACGUAUCCAAUAAUGGGGGAUAACGCACCGAAAGGUGUGCUAAUACCGCAUACGCCCUGAGGGGGAAAGCGGGGGAUCGUAAGACCUCGCGUUAAUGGAGCGGCCGAUGCCGGAUUAGCUAGUUGGUGAGGUAAAGGCUCACCAAGGCGACGAUCCGUAGCUGGUCUGAGAGGACGACCAGCCACACUGGAACUGAGACACGGCCCAGACUCCUACGGGAGGCAGCAGUGGGGAAUUUUGGACAAUGGGGGCAACCCUGAUCCAGCCAUUCCGCGUGAGUGAAGAAGGCCU
This 389-nucleotide ribosomal RNA is filed under the name uncultured bacterium. RNAcentral's name for it is "bacterial SSU rRNA". It matches the Rfam family "Bacterial small subunit ribosomal RNA", at positions 30 to 417 of the family's 1533-position model. The record is from RNAcentral.